CUACGUGCCAGCAGCCGCGGUAAUACGGAAGGUCCUGGCGUUAUCCGGAUUUAUUGGGUUUAAAGGGAGCGCAGGCUGCACUUUAAGCGUGUUGUGAAAUGUACCGGCUCAACCGGUAACGUGCAGCGCGAACUGGGGUGCUUGAGUACGAAGAGGGAAAGCGGAACUCGUGGUGUAGCGGUGAAAUGCUUAGAUAUCACGAGGAACUCCGAUCGCGAAGGCAGCUUUCCGUUUCGGAACUGACGCUGAGGCUCGAAAGUGCGGGUAUCGAACAGGAUUAGAUACCCUGGUAGUCCGCACGGUAAACGAUGGAUGCUCGCUGUUGGAUAUUUUUAUUCAGUGGCUAAGUGAAAACGUUAAGCAUCCCACCUGGGGAGUACGCCGGCAACGGUGAAACUCAAAGGAAUUGACGGGGGCCCGCACAAGCGGAGGAACAUGUGGUUUAAUUCGAUGAUACGCGAGGAACCUUACCCGGGCUUGA
RNAcentral lists this ribosomal RNA (481 nucleotides) under uncultured bacterium. Its description in RNAcentral is "bacterial SSU rRNA". It matches the Rfam family "Bacterial small subunit ribosomal RNA", at positions 501 to 984 of the family's 1533-position model. The record is from RNAcentral.